CCAGACUCCUACGGGAGGCAGCAGUGGGGGAUAUUGCACAAUGGGGGAAACCCUGAUGCAGCGACGCCGCGUGGGUGAAGAAGCGCCUCGGCGCGUAAAGCCCUGUCAGCAGGGAAGAAAAUGACGGUACCUGAAGAAGAAGCCCCGGCUAACUACGUGCCAGCAGCCGCGGUAAUACGUAGGGGGCAAGCGUUAUCCGGAUUUACUGGGUGUAAAGGGAGCGUAGACGGUAUGGCAAGUCUGAUGUGAAAACCCGGGGCUCAACCCCGGGACUGCAUUGGAACUGCGCGGCUGGAGUGCAGGAGGGGCAGGCGGAAUUCCUGGUGUAGCGGUGAAAUGCGUAGAUAUCAGGAGGAACACCGGUGGCGAAGGCGACUAUCUGGCACAUAACUGACGCUGAGGAGCGAAAGCGUGGGUAGCAAACAGGAUUAGAUACCCCGGUA
RNAcentral lists this ribosomal RNA (443 nucleotides) under uncultured bacterium. RNAcentral describes it as "partial 16S ribosomal RNA". It matches the Rfam family "Bacterial small subunit ribosomal RNA", at positions 331 to 792 of the family's 1533-position model. The record is from RNAcentral.